GAAAAUAUGAGCAAAACCAAACCGCUCCAGACCUGCUGUUUAGCCUGUUCUCAUGUGUGACUAAACAGAGUGAGCAGCCUGGUCACAGCUGUGUGGGAGUGGGCUCGAGUGACAGAGCAAAACAUGUGAGCUGCAGGUGAUGGAUGGAGAGCUCUCCCUGCUUCUCUGGGCUGAAUUGUGCCCUUGGCUUGGACUGGCUUCAGCUUUCCAUGGGAAACCCUGCCUGUCCCUGCCAGCCUGGCUGUGUGCCUGGCUGUGUGCCUGGCUGUGUGCGUGGGUGAUGGAUGGUGGCUUGGAUGUCACCCAGGCAACGAAACCUUGCUGGUGUGCUCCUGGACGUGUGGCAUUGCCUGGGGCUGUGUGUGGGGACUCAGAUUCCCUGCUCUUCCCCACGGCUCCUGAGGGACAUGAGCAGCUCUGACCUCUCUGGAGGAGUAUGGAGGGAUGAAAUGGGAAGCCUUGGAGAGCCAGUGCCCAAACAGAGACUCAUAAACAUUCUCAUACAGGAGGAGAAAACAAGGUGUCAGAAUCUCGAAGUCUGUGUUGUGGUGGGGCUCGGUGUGUCCAGCACGGCUGCCUUGGAUGAGGCACCCACACUCAAUUACUCGUGUCCCUGCUGUGCACAGAGCCUGAAGGUUUCAAAAGGUUUUGGCUCACAUCUCUUCCUUUCAGAGGCUACUUCCCCCAUGAGUGUAGAUGCCACUGCACAUCCCAGAUCUCCUUCCAUGACAAUCCCAGGGCACUGAGAGGCAUUAGGACAUUUUUCAUCAGGGCACUGAACCAGAAGGCUGAAAACUUGAGUUAGUGUGAGUGGGACAAGGGGUUGGGGUGCCCAUCUUCAGAGAUCUUCAAAGUUUGACCAGAAAAUGCCCAGAGCAAACUGAUUUCAUCUUUGAAGCUGGUCCUUGGAAAUUGGAAUGAGAAGUUGGACCACAGACUGCCAGAGGUCCCUCCUUACCUAAAUGAGUCUGUGAUUGCAGGCAUGGCUUGAGGUAAAACUCAUCCUUCUGGUCCUGAGGUCUCCAUCUCCAGUGGAGGGAAAGUCACCUUCCUGAUUCUGCAUUACCCAUCCAGCUGAAAUCAUAAAGCGGAAAGUCAAAAAUAAAAUACCCAAUCCCUUUUUUCA
This 1126-nucleotide long non-coding RNA is filed under the name Zonotrichia albicollis (white-throated sparrow). RNAcentral describes it as "lncRNA (ENSZALG00000000240.1)". Lineage: Eukaryota; Metazoa; Chordata; Aves; Passeriformes; Passerellidae. The record is from RNAcentral.